RNAcentral lists this ribosomal RNA (1335 nucleotides) under Klebsiella pneumoniae. Its description in RNAcentral is "partial 23S ribosomal RNA". It matches the Rfam family "Bacterial large subunit ribosomal RNA", at positions 146 to 1527 of the family's 2925-position model. The record is from RNAcentral. Lineage: Bacteria; Pseudomonadati; Pseudomonadota; Gammaproteobacteria; Enterobacterales; Enterobacteriaceae.
CACUAUCGUUAACUGAAUACAUAGGUUAACGAGGCGAACCGGGGGAACUGAAACAUCUAAGUACCCCGAGGAAAAGAAAUCAACCGAGAUUCCCCCAGUAGCGGCGAGCGAACGGGGAGCAGCCCAGAGUCUGAAUCAGCUUGUGUGUUAGUGGAACGGUCUGGAAAGUCCGACGGUACAGGGUGAUAGUCCCGUACACCAAAAUGCACAGGUUGUGAACUCGAAGAGUAGGGCGGGACACGUGGUAUCCUGUCUGAAUAUGGGGGGACCAUCCUCCAAGGCUAAAUACUCCUGACUGACCGAUAGUGAACCAGUACCGUGAGGGAAAGGCGAAAAGAACCCCGGCGAGGGGAGUGAAAAAGAACCUGAAACCGUGUACGUACAAGCAGUGGGAGCACCUUCGGGUGUGACUGCGUACCUUUUGUAUAAUGGGUCAGCGACUUAUAUUCUGUAGCAAGGUUAACCGUAUAGGGGAGCCGCAGGGAAACCGAGUCUUAACUGGGCGUUAAGUUGCAGGGUAUAGACCCGAAACCCGGUGAUCUAGCCAUGGGCAGGUUGAAGGUUGGGUAACACUAACUGGAGGACCGAACCGACUAAUGUUGAAAAAUUAGCGGAUGACUUGUGGCUGGGGGUGAAAGGCCAAUCAAACCGGGAGAUAGCUGGUUCUCCCCGAAAGCUAUUUAGGUAGCGCCUCGUGAAUUCAUCUUCGGGGGUAGAGCACUGUUUCGGCUAGGGGGUCAUCCCGACUUACCAACCCGAUGCAAACUACGAAUACCGAAGAAUGUUAUCACGGGAGACACACGGCGGGUGCUAACGUCCGUCGUGAAGAGGGAAACAACCCAGACCGCCAGCUAAGGUCCCAAAGUCAUGGUUAAGUGGGAAACGAUGUGGGAAGGCACAGACAGCCAGGAUGUUGGCUUAGAAGCAGCCAUCAUUUAAAGAAAGCGUAAUAGCUCACUGGUCGAGUCGGCCUGCGCGGAAGAUGUAACGGGGCUAAACCAUGCACCGAAGCUGCGGCAGCGACACUAUGUGUUGUUGGGUAGGGGAGCGUUCUGUAAGCCUGCGAAGGUGGCCUGUGAGGGUUGCUGGAGGUAUCAGAAGUGCGAAUGCUGACAUAAGUAACGAUAAAGCGGGUGAAAAGCCCGCUCGCCGGAAGACCAAGGGUUCCUGUCCAACGUUAAUCGGGGCAGGGUGAGUCGACCCCUAAGGCGAGGCCGAAAGGCGUAGUCGAUGGGAAACAGGUUAAUAUUCCUGUACUUGGUGUUACUGCGAAGGGGGGACGGAGAAGGCUAUGUUAGCCGGGCGACGGUUGUCCCGGUUUAAGCAUGUAGGCUG